AAAAAAGGCACACGCGAGCUCCUCGGAUACCUUUGUUGUGCACAAGUGGAGUUUACCGCCAUCCAUCCGUUAAAAAAUGGAAGGCCAUGGCCGUUCUUGUCAUUUCGUCCCGAGGCUCAACCCCUCCUCUCAAUAAAUACCCAAAAAUAUCACCACCCCUCCCUCCGGAGAGAGAGAAGGAGAAACGAACUGAACGCGCACGGCGACACAUCCGGUGGCACGCUUCGUUUGGCUCUCAGCGCUCCUCGUACGCACGCACGCACGCACGAACACGCGCGACGCGGGAGCCGUGACGCCUCGCCGGCGGUGGGGAUGACGAGGCGGUGCUCGCACUGCAGCAACAACGGCCACAACGCGCGGACCUGCCCCGCCCGCUCCGGCGGCGGCGGCGGCGGCGGCGGUGUGAGGCUCUUCGGCGUGCACCUCACGUCGCCGCCGGUGGCCGCGAUGAAGAAGAGCGCGAGCAUGAGCUGCAUCGCGUCGUCGCUCGGCGGCGGCGGGUCCGGGGGCUCGUCGCCGGCCGCGGGGCCGGGGGGCGGCGCCGCCAGGGGAGGGGGCGAGGGCGCGCCCGGGUACGUCUCCGACGACCCCAUGCACGCCUCCUGCUCGACCAAUGGCCGGGCCGAGCGCAAGAAAGGUACACCUUGGACUGAAGAAGAGCAUAGAUUGUUUCUACUGGGUCUGCAGAAGCUUGGCAAAGGAGACUGGCGUGGGAUAUCUCGUAGUUUUGUUGUCUCAAGGACCCCAACUCAGGUGGCCAGCCACGCCCAGAAGUAUUUCAUUAGACAGACAAACUUCUCAAGGCGGAAGAGGAGGUCAAGCUUGUUUGACAUGGUCCCAGAAAUGCCAAUGGAUGAGUCCCCUGAUGGCACGGAAGAGUUUAUGCUCUGUGGCACUCAAGAUGAAUCAACAAGUUCAAAUAAACUGUCACUGUUUCAUCUUGAGCGACAGAAGGAAGCAGAGUGUGAUAAAGAUCUGCCAACUUUGCAACUAAGGCAGCACGAGGAAUCUGAAUAUGCAGGGCCUUCACUAGAAGCACCAGACUUGGAGAUGAACAAUGGUGUAUCAUUCAAGACCACAUCUGUCUCGACAGUGCCGGCAUUCUACCCAGCAUUGCUCCCUGUUCCACUAACACUGUGGCCUGCAAAUGUUUCUAAUGUGGAAGCAUCAAACGCAACCCAUGAAGUCCUAAAGCCCACUCCUGUGAAUUUAAAGGAGGCAAUUAAGGCGGAUGAGGUUGUCAGUAUGUCCAAGCUCAGCAUUGGUGGGGGUAGCUCUGGCUCAAUGGAACCUUCUGCUCUUUCCCUUCAGCUUACCGGGCCGACAAAUACAAGGCAAUCAGCUUUUCAUGUGAGCCCACCAAUGACUAGAACUGACCUUAGUCAGGGAAACAACAGCCCAAUCCAUGCAGUUUGAAGAGUCAUGGAAUGGACCUUCCUGGUCAAGUCUUACAGAUUGUAUUAAUGGUCCUGAUACUCUAUAAUGUUGCGUCACUCCAGAAGAUGAAAGAGGAUGAUGCUGCAGUGCAACACAGGUCAGAGACUCAUUUCUCAGUAAUGAAGCAAGAAGCCAAGAAUUUGUACCAAAUCGAAUGAAGUACUCGCGCGAAAGCAAACGAGUGCACCACUGAGUACAUCGAACAGAAGCAUGCAGCUACGAGUGGCUGAAAUGCUGACUGCCGACUCAGUCACCAACUUGUGCCAUGUCGUCCACUGACGCCGAAAAGCAAGAAGAACGUUUUCCUUGCGCCGAUUUGAAACGGGCGCGGGUGUUCCCAAGAAAGAGUGAAUUGCACAUAACCGUAAGAAUUGAGUCACCAGUUUCACAUUACCACAACUUUUGUACUGUCAGCUUCAAUAAAAUUAUUACAACUUUUGUGGCAAAUUCAUUAACCAGGCAGCUAAUUUGACAAGGCUGGCCGACAUGCCAGGGUCUAGAUGGAUUGGCACUGAUAUGUGGGUCAACCUCGUCAAUUCCGCUAUUAACCGCGCUGUUAGCGACUUGAGCACAAAAGUUGCUGUUUUGUGCAAGUUGACACACAAGUCAUGGUUCUGUAAAAUAGUGGCACAAUUGUUGUCGUUCUGUAUAAUUUACUCAAUAUUUUGUUGUUCCUGCCCACCAGGCACCAGCAAGAGAAGGCUGUCAAAGUGUCCAGUGAUGCCCACAAGAACUCGCGCAACGGUAAAUAUGACCCACC
RNAcentral lists this ribosomal RNA (2197 nucleotides) under Triticum aestivum (bread wheat). RNAcentral's name for it is "partial small subunit ribosomal RNA". Lineage: Eukaryota; Viridiplantae; Streptophyta; Magnoliopsida; Poales; Poaceae. The record is from RNAcentral.